Long non-coding RNA from Podarcis muralis (Common wall lizard), 1804 nucleotides. The record is from Ensembl. Lineage: Eukaryota; Metazoa; Chordata; Lepidosauria; Squamata; Lacertidae.
AUGCCUAUGAAAAUAGAAGAAGAAGUCAGCGCUCUCCACCGAAUGGCUUGCGGCUUCGCUCAGCAGGGGAAGCAGAGGACUCUCAGCACCGCGCCGCUCCCCGUCCCCCGUUCCGUAGCCUUUAAAAAGGCUCCUUCACGGGUCAGGAAGGGCGCUAACGGUGCCCGCCGAGUCACCAAGUCCACGGGCAUCCGCUCCCGUGGUUUUUAAGGGUCCCCGCGUCGCCGGCGCGGUAGAACCCGAUCCCUACUGAGCAGAUUCCCUCCGGAGCUCGGAGGGAAUCCGCUAUUCGGCAAUGGCGCCAACCCGGAAGUCCGCCUCUUCUCAAUCUCUGGCAUCUCCAGUUGAAUGUUCAAGAAGCAAGUGACACGAAAAACUCUCUUCUCAAUUCUCUGGACUAUGCUUCCAGCCUGAGUGGACAGUAUUGGGCUAGCUCAUCAUGGCCAAACUUGGUGCCCUCCAGAUAUUCUAGGCUGCUACAAGAAGAAGAAGAGUUUGGAUUUGAUAUCCCUCUUUAUCACUACCUGAAGGAGUCUCAAAGCGGCUAACAUUCUCCUUUCCCUUCCUCCCCCACGACAAACACUCUGUGAGGUGAGUGGGGCUGAGAGACUUCAAAGAAGUGUGACUAGCUCAAGGUCACCCAGCAGCUGCAUGUGGAGGAGCAGAGACGCGAACCUGGUUCACCAGAUUACAAGUCUACCAGGUUGGGCAAGGCAAGUCUAGUUUGACACAGUGGUGGACCUACAUUUGGGGGGCACUGAAGCUUGAACUGUUAUGGGGGCCCCUUCUCAACCAGCAACAAGGUUUGGGUAACCACUGUUAUCUUCUUCAGUGGGGUUGUACUACAACGGAUCACAAAUUUCCCAUGAGUUUGCGUUUUUGGUAUCUACUUGAGUACUUUUGUGACCCUGUUGUUGCUUUUCUGGGGUCUUGACCUCUGUCAAAAAAAGGGGGAGUGGGGAAUUACAUUAGCCACGGCAGAAUAGCCAACUUGCUGUGACAUAGGGGGUGCCAACUUGAAUAAAAUAAGGGGGAGGGGGCAGGUAAGCUCUGCCCCACAUAAUCGAUCACAAGACACGGUACACACACACACCAGUUGAAUGGCAAUGCCCGCCAACUGGGGGGGGGGGCUCCCUCAAAUAUUUUGUUGGAGGGGGCCAAAGGGACCUCGGCCCCUAGGAGUUGGCUCCUAUGUCAUGACAUUUCACCUUUGCACCAUCUAUGCUACUGACUCUCAAGCUUUGGGAUUGUCGAAAUAUAUACAAAAAGUUUGAAUUGUGUGGUUCAGAUGGGAUCUACUAGACUCUUUUUAAAAAAAAAAAAAAAAGGAAUGUGAACUAAAGUCACUUAUGGGGCCCGUCCGGGAUUAGGGUCCCUGAAGCUUAAGAUUCAUUCAUUUCAUAGUAUGGACAUAUCUGAAGGAAGGCAAUCAGGUUCUGUAUACAACCCUCACUUGCCCAGCAAGGUAUUUUUCAACCUUUGCUCCAUCCCCUUUGUUUGGGUCUGGACAAGGAGAAGAGCAUGAGAAGCCAAGCAUCAUUAGGACUGCUUGAAAACAGCAGCAGCAGCACACAUAAACAGUUUUAAAACAACAUUUGGGCUGUGGUAUACGGUAUGGUGUAUUGCAGCCUACACAAAUUUCAUGGACCUUGUUGAAAGGACCAGGGUAUAAUUCCCAGACAUCAAACACUUCAUUUGUGGUUUGCAAGCACCUUGCAGCAAUGUGGUUAUACAGGCUUUUUUAAAAACUAGGUGAAAGACUGUAGGCAAGAGGGUCAUCUUUAUUUAACCAGUGUAAACACAA